UACGUAGGGUGCGAGCGUUAAUCGGAAUCACUGGGCGUAAAGCGUGCGCAGGCGGUUUUGUAAGCCAGAUGUGAAAUCCCCGGGCUUAACCUGGGAAUGGCAUUUGGGACUGCAAGGCUGGAGUGCGGCAGAGGAGACUGGAAUUCCUGGUGUAGCAGUGAAAUGCGUAGAUAUCAGGAGGAAUACCGAUGGCGAAGGCAGGUCUCUGGGCUGACACUGACGCUCAUGCACGAAAGCGUGGGGAGCAAACAGG
This 253-nucleotide ribosomal RNA is filed under the name uncultured bacterium. RNAcentral's name for it is "partial 16S ribosomal RNA". It matches the Rfam family "Bacterial small subunit ribosomal RNA", at positions 524 to 776 of the family's 1533-position model. The record is from RNAcentral.